This is a long non-coding RNA of Anguilla rostrata (American eel), 1018 nucleotides long. RefSeq lists it as uncharacterized. The transcript has 4 exons. The record is from RefSeq and is a predicted model, not a curated record. Lineage: Eukaryota; Metazoa; Chordata; Actinopteri; Anguilliformes; Anguillidae.
CAACAAUCGCCCUUUUCACCAGGCGCUGCUGAUUCGCUGCUGAGAAGUUCUGCCAGGUGAUUUGCGCGAGUCACACCUGCGAUUUGAGUCACACCUGUUACGGCUUAAUUACUCGCGCAUGCUCGGUGGAUUUACCACGCACAGCAGGAGUUCCAGAUGACUGGAGGAUGUCUGCUGAUGUGAUCUCCUAAAAGGAAGGAUGUUUGUUCCAGUCCCACGAUGACUCACUGCUUUCUUUCUGCCAUUUGACCUCUGACACUCUCACCCUGACCUCCGACCUCCAGAGGAACCAUUGUGUGUGAGAGGAAGAUGGACGCCUCCUCAGCCUCAGAGAGAGCCCCACGCUACAGCGGCAGGUGUGCAGGGGGGUGUUGGUGCGAAUGUAAUAUUACCAGGAGCUGUUAUUGCCAAGGCGCUGUAUGGCGGGAACAGGAGCCCUUAUCGCCAUGGCGCUGUAUGGCGGGAACAGGAGCCGCUAUCGCCAUGGCGCUGUAUGGCGGGAACAGGAGCCCUUAUCGCCAUGGCGCUGUAUGGCGGGAACAGGAGCCCUUAUCGCCAUGGCGCUGUAUGGCGGGAACAGGAGCCCUUAUCGCCAUGGCGCUGUAUGGCGGGAAUGUAUGGCCAUGCAACGUGUGGGGCAGUUUGCCAUUGUCUGAGGCAGUGGCCUUUUACACUUACAGACCAGCUGUGGCCAGCUCUGUUCUGGAAGCCGUCGUUUCUGUUUGAGGAAUGAUUAGUCUCUUUGCAUCAUUAAUAUUCUUAUUUUGUUUUGCAUUUAGAAGCAGAGAUUAAAACUAUGGGGGGGAUGGAGGGGAGGGGGGUCAUUUUUGUUUUAUAAGCCCUUUUUUUGUUGUAUGUAAGUCCCGGUGUGGAAGAAGAGUGGGGAAACUGGCACAGCUAAAGAAACCCACUAAAUAUAUAAAUAUAGCCCUUCCACGGCUCCUUGAUUGUUCUCAGCGAAUUGUUGCUGUUUUUCUGAAAGACUGAUUGUUUAAUAAACAGAACUAGGCAUGUCACA